RNAcentral lists this ribosomal RNA (253 nucleotides) under uncultured bacterium. RNAcentral describes it as "partial 16S ribosomal RNA". It matches the Rfam family "Bacterial small subunit ribosomal RNA", at positions 524 to 776 of the family's 1533-position model. The record is from RNAcentral.
GACAGAGGGUGCAACCGUUGUUCGGAAUUACUGGGCGUAAAGCGCGUGUAGGCUGCUUGGAAAGUCGGAUGUGAAAGCCCUGGGCUCAACCUAGGAAGUGCAUUCGAAACUUCUGAGCUGGAGUGCUGGAGAGGAAGGCGGAAUUCUCGGUGUAGAGGUGAAAUUCGUAGAUAUCGAGAGGAACACCGGUGGCGAAGGCGGCCUUCUGGACAGCAACUGACGCUGAGACGCGAAAGCGUGGGGAGCGAACAGG